Molecule: ribosomal RNA, 867 nt
Filed under: Triticum aestivum (bread wheat)
Lineage: Eukaryota; Viridiplantae; Streptophyta; Magnoliopsida; Poales; Poaceae
Description: partial small subunit ribosomal RNA
Source: RNAcentral
AUGGAGGGGAGCGGCGGCGACCACUUCAUCCUCGUCCACGGCCUCGGCCACGGCGCGUGGUGCUGGUACAAGCUGGUGCCGAUGCUGCGCGCCGCGGGGCACCGCGUCACCGCGCUGGACAUGGCGGCGUCGGGCGUGCACCCGGCGCGCAUGGACGAGGUGCCGUCCUUCGAGGACUACUCGCGGCCGCUGCUCGACGCCGUGGCCGCGGCGCCGGCCGGCGAGAGGCUGGUCCUGGUCGGGCACAGCCUCGGCGGGCUCAACAUCGCGCUCGCCAUGGAGAGGCUCCCGCGCAAGGUCGCCGCGGCCGUGUUCCUCGACGCGUGCAUGCCGUGCGUCGGCCGGCACAUGGGCGUCACCAUGGAGGAGGUAAGCAAACCUCAAGUUUUUUCAUGGACAGCAAUCGAUACCUGGCUAAUCUCUGGUGACUCCUCUUCCCAGUUCUCCAGAAGAACCACGCCGGAUUUUUUCAUGGACAGCGAGAGGAUGGUUCUGGAGACGAGCGAGGGCCCUCGAGCUGCACUCGUGUUUGGCCCCAAAUUGUUGGCAGCAAAACUGUACGGUCGAAGCCCAGUUGAGGACCUGACGCUGGCCACGAUGCUGGUGAGGCCCGGCCGCCAGUUCGGGGACGACGCGAUGGUGAAGGACGAGACGCUGCUCACCGACGCCAACUACGGGUCGGUGAAGAAGGUGUACGUGGUGGCCAUGGAGGACGUUGCUUUCUCCGAGGACAUGCAGCGCUGGAUGGUCGACCUGAGCCCCGGCACGGAGGCCGUGGAGAUCGCCGGAGCCGACCACAUGGCCAUGUUCUCCAAGCCCAGGGAGCUCUGCGAUGUUCUGCUCGGGAUCGCCAGCAAGCAUGACUGA